CGUAAAGGGCUCGCAGGCGGUUUCUUAAGUCUGAUGUGAAAGCCCCCGGCUCAACCGGGGAGGGUCAUUGGAAACUGGGAAACUUGAGUGCAGAAGAGGAGAGUGGAAUUCCACGUGUAGCGGUGAAAUGCGUAGAGAUGUGGAGGAACACCAGUGGCGAAGGCGACUCUCUGGUCUGUAACUGACGCUGAGGAGCGAAAGCGUGGGGAGCGAACAGGAUUAGAUACCCUGGUAGUCCACGCCGUAAACGAUGAGUGCUAAGUGUUAGGGGGUUUCCGCCCCUUAGUGCUGCAGCUAACGCAUUAAGCACUCCGCCUGGGGAGUACGGUCGCAAGACUGAAACUCAAAGGAAUUGACGGGGGCCCGCACAAGCGGUGGAGCAUGUGGUUUAAUUCGAAGCAACGCGAAGAACCUUACCAGGUCUUGACAUCCUCUGACGACCCUAGAGAUAGGGCUUUCCCUUCGGGGACAGAGUGACAGGUGGUGCAUGGGUGUCUUCAGCUCGUGUCGUGAGAUGUUGGGUUAAGUCCCGCA
RNAcentral lists this ribosomal RNA (534 nucleotides) under Bacillus pumilus. Its description in RNAcentral is "bacterial SSU rRNA". It matches the Rfam family "Bacterial small subunit ribosomal RNA", at positions 559 to 1091 of the family's 1533-position model. Lineage: Bacteria; Bacillati; Bacillota; Bacilli; Caryophanales; Bacillaceae. The record is from RNAcentral.